UGCAGUCGAGGGGCAGCACGAAUAGCAAUAUUUGGUGGCGACCGGCGCACGGGUGCGUAACACGUAUACAAUCUACCUAAAACAGGGGGAUAGCCUUUCGAAAGAGAGAUUAAUACCCCGUAACAAAUUGAAUGGCAUCAUUUGAUUUUGAAAGCUCCGGCGGUUUUAGAUGAGUAUGCGUCUGAUUAGCUAGUUGGUGAGGUAACGGCUCACCAAGGCGACGAUCAGUAGGGGAUCUGAGAGGACUAACCCCCACACUGGUACUGAGACACGGACCAGACUCCUACGGGAGGCAGCAGUAAGGAAUAUUGGUCAAUGGAGGCAACUCUGAACCAGCCAUGCCGCGUGCAGGAAGAAGGCCCUAUGGGUCGUAAACUGCUUUUGUACCAGAGAAAACCACAGUACGUGUACUGUGUUGAUAGUAUGGUAAGAAUAAGCAUCGGCUAACUUCGUGCCAGCAGCCGCGGUAAGACGAAGGAUGCAAGCGUUAUCCGGAUUCAUUGGGUUUAAAGGGUGCGUAGGCGGACUGAUAAGUCAGUGGUGAAAUCUCUCGGCUUAACCGAGAAACUGCCAUUGAUACUGUUAGCCUAGAGUAUAGAUGACGUUGGCGGAAUAUGACAUGUAGUGGUGAAAUACUUAGAUAUGCCAUAGAACACCGAUUGCGAAGGCAGCUAACGAAACUAUAACUGACGCUGAGGCACGAAAGUGCGGGGAUCAAACAGGAUUAGAUACCCUGGUAGUCCGCACCGUAAACGAUGAUUACUCGUUGUUGGCAAUAUGACCGUCAGCGACCAAGCGAAAGCGAUAAGUAAUCCACCUGGGGAGUACGCCGGCAACGGUGAAACUCAAGGAAUUGACGGGGGCCCGCACAAGCGGAGGAGCAUGUGNUUUAAUUCGAUGAUACGCGAGGAACNUUACCUGGGCUUGA
Molecule: ribosomal RNA, 928 nt
Filed under: uncultured bacterium
Lineage: Bacteria
Description: bacterial SSU rRNA
Rfam family: Bacterial small subunit ribosomal RNA
Source: RNAcentral